UACGGAGGAUCCGAGCGUUAUCCGGAAUUAUUGGGUUUAAAGGGUGCGUAGGCGGCUUUUUAAGUCAGCGGUGAAAUUUUGCAGCUUAACUGUAACAGUGCCGUUGAUACUGGGGAGCUAGGAUUUGGUUGCUGUGGGUGGAAUGUGUGGUGUAGCGGUGAAAUGCUUAGAGAUCACACAGAAUAUCGAUUGCGAAGGCAGCUCACAAAGCCAAGAUUGACGCUGAGGCACGAAAGUGUGGGGAUCAAACAGGAUUAGA
RNAcentral lists this ribosomal RNA (259 nucleotides) under uncultured prokaryote. RNAcentral describes it as "partial 16S ribosomal RNA". It matches the Rfam family "Bacterial small subunit ribosomal RNA", at positions 524 to 782 of the family's 1533-position model. The record is from RNAcentral.